Molecule: ribosomal RNA, 524 nt
Filed under: Rhizomicrobium sp.
Lineage: Bacteria; Pseudomonadati; Pseudomonadota; Alphaproteobacteria; Micropepsales; Micropepsaceae
Description: bacterial SSU rRNA
Rfam family: Bacterial small subunit ribosomal RNA
Source: RNAcentral
ACCGAAUGUGCCCGUAAGGGGAAAGAUUUAUCGCCAAUAGAUCAGCCCGCGUAGGAUUAGCUAGUUGGUGGGGUAAUGGCCCACCAAGGCUCCGAUCCUUAGCUGUUCUGAGAGGAAGAUCAGCCACACUGGGACUGAGACACGGCCCAGACUCCUACGGGAGGCAGCAGUUGGGAAUCUUGGACAAUGGGCGAAAGCCUGAUCCAGCCAUGCCGCGUGAGUGAUGAAGGCCUUCGGGUUGUAAAACUCUUUCGACGGGGACGAUAAUGACGGUACCCGUAGAAGAAGCUCCGGCUAACUUCGUGCCAGCAGCCGCGGUAAUACGAAGGGGGCUAGCGUUGUUCGGAAUUACUGGGCGUAAAGCGCGCGCAGGCGGUUUUCCAAGUCAGUGGUGAAAGCCCGGAGCUCAACUCCGGAACUGCCAUUGAAACUGUUAAACUUGAGGACGAGAGAGGUGAGUGGAAUUCCCAGUGUAGAGGUGAAAUUCGUAGAUAUUGGGAAGAACACCAGUGGCGAAGGCGGCU